RNAcentral lists this non-coding RNA (28 nucleotides) under Mus musculus (house mouse). Lineage: Eukaryota; Metazoa; Chordata; Mammalia; Rodentia; Muridae. The record is from RNAcentral.
UGCCAACAUACAGCAUGUCAGAGAUCAC